AACCAAUUCUUUAGCUCAAACACCACCACUAAGGUUUAAAGCUCCAAAUAAGACGUUCUAUGAAGUCCCCGUUGUAGAACCCCAAAAGAACCCAGUAUUCUCGAGUGAUCAAAACUCAAAACUGCCAAGAAAGAACAUGAGAUUGAAAUCAGCAUUCGGAUCUCGAAAUUAAAAAAGAAUAUGCUUAUAAUACUCGCAGUCGCAGAAAUAUCCUUAAUCAUAUCCAGCAUAGCAAAUGAGGCGUAAUGAAUCAAGCGCCACCUACUAGUCUCGAAGUCUCCAAAAUCUUUUUUUUUUUUCCUUUAUUUAUUUUUUUUU
RNAcentral lists this unclassified non-coding RNA (318 nucleotides) under Hevea brasiliensis (rubber tree). The record is from RNAcentral. Lineage: Eukaryota; Viridiplantae; Streptophyta; Magnoliopsida; Malpighiales; Euphorbiaceae.